RNAcentral lists this ribosomal RNA (468 nucleotides) under uncultured bacterium. Its description in RNAcentral is "partial 16S ribosomal RNA". It matches the Rfam family "Bacterial small subunit ribosomal RNA", at positions 28 to 507 of the family's 1533-position model. The record is from RNAcentral.
GACGAACGCUGGCGGCGUGCUUAACACAUGCAAGUCGAACGGAAAGGCCCUGCUUUUGUGGGGUGCUCGAGUGGCGCACGGGUGAGUAACACGUGAGUAACCUGCCCUUGACUUUGGGAUAACUUCAGGAAACUGGGGCUAAUACCGGAUAGGAGCUCCUGCUGCAUGGUGGGGGUUGGAAAGUUUCGGCGGUUGGGGAUGGACUCGCGGCUUAUCAGCUUGUUGGUGGGGUAGUGGCUUACCAAGGCUUUGACGGGUAGCCGGCCUGAGAGGGUGACCGGCCACAUUGGGACUGAGGUACGGCCCAGACGCCUACGGGAGGCAGCAGUGGGGAAUAUUGCACAGUGGGCGGAAGCCGGAUGCAGCGACGCCGCGUGCGGGAUGACGGCCUUCGGGGUGUAAACCGCUUUCGCCUGUGACGAAGCGUGAGUGACGGUAAUGGGUAAAGAAGCACCGGCUAACUACGUG